UCGAGAUCCAAAUGUUGGGCUUGGCUCAAGCCAUAAGUGACCAAUGAUAUACGCGUGAGAGUGGGUAACCGGUUCACUUAGCGCAUUCUAGCGCUCGAGGAUGUCAAGCCCACCUGGAACUGGACCCGUCCAGACUCCUUCGAGGCCGCCAGUGGAAAUGCCAAUGGCGCAAGCCUGAUGCAAGCCAUGCGGUGGUGGAAGAAGCCUUCGGGUUGUAAACCAUUUCAGCGGGGAGAAGGCGUUAAGUUAAUACCCUGUCGAUUGACGUACCCGCAGAAGAAGCACGGCUAACUUCGUGCCAGCAGCCGCCGGUAAUACGAGGGUGCAAGCGUAAUCGGAAUUACUGGGCGUAAAGCGCACGCAAGGCGGUCUGUCAAGUCGGAUGUGAAAUCCCCGGGCUCAACCUGGGAACUGCAUUCGAACUGGCAGGCUAGAGUCUUGUAGAGGGGGGUAGAAUUCCAGGUGUAGCGGUGAAAUGCGUAGAGAUCUGGAGGAAUACCGGUGGCGAAGGCGGCCCCCUGGACAAAGACUGACGCUCAGGUGCGAAAGCGUGGGGAGCAAACAGGAUUAGAUACCCUGGUAGUCACGCCGUAAACGAUGUCGAUUUGGAGGUUGUGCCCUUGAGGCGUGGCUUCCGGAGCUAACGCGUUAAAUCGACCGCCUGGGGAGUACGGCCGCAAGGUUAAAACUCAAAUGAAUUGACGGGGGCCCGCACAAGCGGUGGAGCAUGUGGUUUAAUUCGAUGCAACGCGAAGAACCUUACCUGGUCUUGACAUCCACAGAACUUUCCAGAGAUGGAUUGGUGCCUUCGGGAACUGUGAGACAGGUGCUGCAUGGCUGUCGUCAGCUCGUGUUGUGAAAUGUUGGGUUAAGUCCCGCAACGAGCGCAACCCUUAUCCUUUGUUGCCAGCGGUCCGGCCGGGAACUCAAAGGAGACUGCCAGUGAUAAACUGGAGGAAGGUGGGGAUGACGUCAAGUCAUCAUGGCCCUUACGACCAGGGCUACACACGUGCUACAAUGGCAUAUACAAAGAGAAGCGACCUCGCGAGAGCAAGCGGACCUCAUAAAGUAUGUCGUAGUCCGGAUUGGAGUCUGCAACUCGACUCCAUGAAGUCGGAAUCGCUAGUAAUCGUAGAUCAGAAUGCUACGGUGAAUACGUUCCCGGGCCUUGUACACACCGCCCGUCACACCAUGGGAGUGGGUUGCAAAAGAAGUAGGUAGCUUAACCUUCGGGAGGCGCUACACACAUCGAUGCUGUCCACAAG
Molecule: ribosomal RNA, 1265 nt
Filed under: Klebsiella pneumoniae subsp. ozaenae
Lineage: Bacteria; Pseudomonadati; Pseudomonadota; Gammaproteobacteria; Enterobacterales; Enterobacteriaceae
Description: bacterial SSU rRNA
Rfam family: Bacterial small subunit ribosomal RNA
Source: RNAcentral